Molecule: ribosomal RNA, 252 nt
Filed under: uncultured bacterium
Lineage: Bacteria
Description: partial 16S ribosomal RNA
Rfam family: Bacterial small subunit ribosomal RNA
Source: RNAcentral
UACGAAGGGGGCUAGCGUUGCUCGGAAUCACUGGGCGUAAAGCGCACGUAGGCGGGUUGUUAAGUCGGGGGUGAAAUCCUGGAGCUCAACUCCAGAACUGCCUUCGAUACUGGCGACCUUGAGUCCGGGAGAGGUGAGUGGAACUCCGAGUGUAGAGGUGAAAUUCGUAGAUAUUCGGAAGAACACCAGUGGCGAAGGCGGCUCACUGGCCCGGUACUGACGCUGAGGUGCGAAAGCGUGGGAGCAAACAGG